UGGGGAAUAUUGGGCAAUGGGCGAAAGCCUGACCCAGCGACGCCGCGUGAGGGAAGAAGGUCUUCGGAUUGUAAACCUUAGUUAGCAGGGAAGAAGAAAGUGACGGUACCUGCAGAGAAAGCCACGGCUAACUGCGUGCCAGCAGCCGCGGUAAUACGUAGGGGGCGAGCGUUGUCCGGAAUGACUGGGCGUAAAGGGCGCGUAGGCGGCUUGAUAAGUUAGAAGUGAAAGUCCUGCUUUCAAGGUGGGAAUUGCUUUUAAUACUGUUGAGCUUGAGUGUAGAAGAGGUAAGCGGAAUUCCAAGUGUAGCGGUGAAAUGCGUAGAGAUUUGGAAGAACACCAGUGGCGAAGGCGGCUUACUGGGCUGUAACUGACGCUGAGGCGCGAAAGCGCGGGGAGCGAACAGGAUUAGAUACCCUGGUAGU
RNAcentral lists this ribosomal RNA (425 nucleotides) under uncultured bacterium. RNAcentral describes it as "bacterial SSU rRNA". It matches the Rfam family "Bacterial small subunit ribosomal RNA", at positions 355 to 794 of the family's 1533-position model. The record is from RNAcentral.